UUAGGAAUAUUCGUCAAUGGGGGAAACCCUGAACGAGCAAUGCCGCGUGAACGAAGAAGGUCCUCUGGAUUGUAAAGUUCUGUUGUUAGGGACGAACGACCAGUAUAGGAAAUGAUACUGGAGUGACGGUACCUUUCAAGAAAGCUCCGGCUAACUACGUGCCAGCAGCCGCGGUAAUACGUAGGGAGCGAGCGUUAUCCGGAUUUAUUGGGUGUAAAGGGUGCGUAGGCGGAUUAAUAAGUUGGUGGUCUAAGCCCGAAGCUUAACUUCGGUUCGCCACCAAAACUGUUAACCUUGAGUAUGGUAGAGGCAAGUGGAAUUUCUAGUGUAGCGGUUAAAUGCGUAGAUAUUAGAAGGAACAUCAGUGGCGAAGGCGACUUGCUGGGCCAACACUGACGCUGAGGCACGAAAGCGUGGGGAGCAAAUAGG
This 429-nucleotide ribosomal RNA is filed under the name uncultured bacterium. RNAcentral describes it as "bacterial SSU rRNA". It matches the Rfam family "Bacterial small subunit ribosomal RNA", at positions 355 to 776 of the family's 1533-position model. The record is from RNAcentral.